UACGAAGGGGGCUAGCGUUGCUCGGAAUCACUGGGCGUAAAGGGUGCGUAGGCGGGUCUUUAAGUCAGGGGUGAAAUCCUGGAGCUCAACUCCAGAACUGCCUUUGAUACUGAAGAUCUUGAGUUCGGGAGAGGUGAGUGGAACUGCGAGUGUAGAGGUGAAAUUCGUAGAUAUUCGCAAGAACACCAGUGGCGAAGGCGGCUCACUGGCCCGAUACUGACGCUGAGGGACGAAAGCGUGGGGAGCAAACAGG
RNAcentral lists this ribosomal RNA (253 nucleotides) under uncultured bacterium. Its description in RNAcentral is "partial 16S ribosomal RNA". It matches the Rfam family "Bacterial small subunit ribosomal RNA", at positions 524 to 776 of the family's 1533-position model. The record is from RNAcentral.